CGCCUGUUUAUCAAAAACAUGGCUUUAGGAUAGUUAUAUCUAAGGUUAUACCUGCCCAAUGUACAAAUGGGAUCAAUGGCCGCGGUACUUUGACCGUGCUAAGGUAGCGUAAUCAGUUGGCUCUUAAUUAGGGUCAGGAAUGAAUGGAGUCACGUGGUUCGACUGUCUUCCAAAUAUUUAAUUGAAGUUACUAUAUAGAUGAAAAAGUCUAUAGUUAGAAAAAAGACGAGAAGACCCUUAGAGUUUUACUUAAUGUGGUUGUGUAAUAAUCAUAAUAGUUUUGUUGGGGCAACAUGGGAGCACAAUAUAUUUGGAUAAUCUCCUAAAUUAUACUAACCGACUAUUUUAAAUUCGAAGAAACUACCUUAGGGAUAACAGCAUUAUGUAAAAAAUAAGUUUGUGACCUCGAUGUUGGACUGGGAAAUUUAAAGGCUAGCCGUUUUUAAAGAAAGUUCUGUUCGAACUAUUAUUCCCACGUGAUCUGAGUUUUAGACCGG
This 497-nucleotide ribosomal RNA is filed under the name Felimare picta. RNAcentral's name for it is "partial 16S ribosomal RNA". It matches the Rfam family "Bacterial large subunit ribosomal RNA", at positions 1797 to 2619 of the family's 2925-position model. Lineage: Eukaryota; Metazoa; Mollusca; Gastropoda; Nudibranchia; Chromodorididae. The record is from RNAcentral.